AUUAUCACCAUUCCUCAAGUUUCUAGAACAAUUUUACUCUUCUCCUUAAUAUAAUUUUUUGUCCAGAAAAGGGAAAGACUAAACUCAUGGAUAGUUAUCCAAAGGAGAGAAGAGAAAAUUGUUUGUGGUAAAUGAAAGAUGCUGCCUACAGUAGCACAAAUAAUCCCAUUCAUGGCUACCAGCUUGCUACGCAUUGCUUACUUAUGCUGCAGGCAACUAUUGUUGAAAUGACAGGAGGACAGGAAGGCAUGAGAAAGGGGCAGACAGCUACUGAUGAAAGAGUCAUCAACUACUGUAGAUACUUCUUGGAGAUUGGAAGUUGAAUUUUACAUUUCUUUAUAUCCCCAGGUUUAAUAAAAAAAUUGCUUGUAGGUGUUCAAUAAACAUUUGAUGAAUGAAUGGGGAACAGUUCAGUUAUUUUCCUUGAAUCCUAGGCAGGAUGAUUUGAUACACUUUGGAUUCUUGAGGUUUUAUGAAAUUUUAAAUGCAAGGCAAACUACUAUUUACCCAAUUGAAGUCCAAAUGUAAGCAUUUUAUGGUAAACCAGGAGAAAGUAGAAGGCAAAAAUGCAUUAGCUUAAAACCUAGGACACCAAAAUGAAGAUCAAAUGUAUGCAUGAAAGUGUGUUAAAGAAAAUCAUUGCCCUGCCCUGCAGAUGCUAUCCUGGACUUGCCAGCCCCAUAGACACAGUUGCUGUGCUGUGCCUGUACUAUUGGAGCAAAGAAAAAGUGGCUAUUUCUAUGCUCAGUGUUCACAAACCAGUGAGCACUAAGAAUGGUUUAUAGCCUGACAUUUCUUAGAAAAGAAGAAGAAGAAAACUGUUGCAUAGUAUCAGCUAAAUUUGGACAUAAAUGUUUCCUAUGAUUCAGUAAUUCUUUUUUUUCUUUUUCUUUUUUUUUUUUUUUUUGAGGCACCAUCUCGGCUCACUGCAACCUCCACCUCCUGGGUUCAAGCACUUCUCCUUCCUCAGCCUCCUGAGUAGCUGAGAUUACAGGCAUCUGUCAUCACACCUGGCUGAUUUUUGUAUUUCUUUUAGAUACGGGGUUUUACCAUGUUGGCCCAGCUGGUCUCAAACUCCUGACCUCAUGAUCCACCCGCCUCAGCUUCCCAAAGUGCUGGGAUUACAGGCGUGAGCCACUGUGCUUGACCUGAUUCAGCAAUUCUACUCUUAGAUAUUUAUUCAAUAAAAAUGUGCACACAGGUGCAACAAAAGAAAUGCACAACAGCCAAAAUUGAAAAUAACCCAAACAUUCAAAUUUGUGUUAUAUUCAUGCAAUGGAAUAUACUAUACAGUAAUGAAAGUGAUAAAACCACAGCUACAUGCAAUAACAUGAAUGUGUCUAACAAGCAUAUAUGCUGAAUACAGAAGUCAGACAAAGGAAUGCACAUUAUACGAUCCCAUCUACACGAAGUUGUAAAACAGGCAAAACUAAUAGAGUCAGAAUAGUGGUUACCUUUGAGAAGGAGAGUGGGGUAAUGUUGAA
RNAcentral lists this long non-coding RNA (1484 nucleotides) under Homo sapiens (human). Its description in RNAcentral is "HSALNT0044149". The stretch from base 658 to 795 matches the Rfam family "Small nucleolar RNA SNORA43". The record is from RNAcentral. Lineage: Eukaryota; Metazoa; Chordata; Mammalia; Primates; Hominidae.